UACGGAGGAUGCGAGCGUUAUCCGGAUUUAUUGGGUUUGAAGGGUGCGUAGGCGGAUUUUUAAGUCAGCGGUAAAAUGUCCGGGCUCAACCCGGGCCGGCCGUUGAAACUGGGGAUCUUGAGUGGGCGAGAAGUAUGCGGAAUGCGUGGUGUAGCGGUGAAAUGCAUAGAUAUCACGCAGAACUCCGAUUGCGAAGGCAGCAUACCGGCGCCCGACUGACGCUGAGGCACGAAAGCGUGGGGAUCGAACAGG
Molecule: ribosomal RNA, 252 nt
Filed under: uncultured bacterium
Lineage: Bacteria
Description: partial 16S ribosomal RNA
Rfam family: Bacterial small subunit ribosomal RNA
Source: RNAcentral